Molecule: ribosomal RNA, 255 nt
Filed under: uncultured bacterium
Lineage: Bacteria
Description: partial 16S ribosomal RNA
Rfam family: Bacterial small subunit ribosomal RNA
Source: RNAcentral
UACAUGGGGUGCAAACGUUGCUCGGAAUUAUUGGGCGUAAAGCGCACGUAGGCGGUUCGUUAAGUCGGAUGUGAAAGCCCUCGGCUCAACUGAGGAAGUGCACCCGAAACUGGCGAGCUUGAGUACGAAAGAGGAUCGCGGAAUUCCCGGUGUAGAGGUGAAAUUCGUAGAUAGUCGGGAGGAACACCGGUGGCGAAGGCGGGCGAUCUGGGUCGAUACUGACGCUGAGGUGCGAAAGCGUGGGGAGCAAACAGG